GCCGGGCAUGGUGGCGUGCACCUACAGUCCCUGCUACUCAGGAGGCUGAGGCUGGAGGAUCACUUGAGCCCAGGAGUUCAGGGCUGUCAUGGGCUAUGCUGAGCAGGUGUCCAUCCUAAGUCCGGCAUCACUAUGGUGGCCUCCCAGGAGUGGGGGACCACUGGGUUGCCAAGGGAGGGCGAACUGGCCCAGAAACAGAGCAGGUCAGAACUUCUGUGCUGAUCGGGAGUGGGACUACACCUGUGCAUAGCCAGUGCACUCCAGCCUGGACAACACAGCAAGACCCUGUCUCU
This 293-nucleotide signal recognition particle RNA is filed under the name Carlito syrichta (Philippine tarsier). RNAcentral's name for it is "Metazoan signal recognition particle RNA (ENSTSYG00000032003.1)". It matches the Rfam family "Metazoan signal recognition particle RNA". From Rfam's summary of the family: The signal recognition particle (SRP) is a universally conserved ribonucleoprotein. It is involved in the co-translational targeting of proteins to membranes. Lineage: Eukaryota; Metazoa; Chordata; Mammalia; Primates; Tarsiidae. The record is from RNAcentral.